This 482-nucleotide ribosomal RNA is filed under the name uncultured bacterium. RNAcentral's name for it is "partial 16S ribosomal RNA". It matches the Rfam family "Bacterial small subunit ribosomal RNA", at positions 28 to 523 of the family's 1533-position model. The record is from RNAcentral.
GACGAACGCUGGCGGCGUGCUUGACACAUGCAAGUCGAACGAUGAAGCCCAGCUUGCUGGGUGGAUUAGUGGCGAACGGGUGAGUAACACGUGGGCAACCUGCCCCAAACUCUGGGAUAACUCCUCGAAAGAGGUGCUAAUACCGGAUACGAACUAGGUAGACAUCUGCACUAGUUGGAAGGUUUUUCGGUUUGGGAUGGGCCCGCGGCCUAUCAGCUUGUUGGUGAGGUAACGGCUCACCAAGGCUACGCCGGGUAACCGGCCUGAGAGGGCGACCGGUCACACUGGGACUGAGACACGGCCCAGACUCCUACGGGAGGCAGCAGUGGGGAAUAUUGCGCAAUGGGCGAAAGCCUGACGCAGCGACGCCGCGUGAGGGAUGAAGGUCUUCGGAUCGUAAACCUCUUUCAGUAGGGACGAAGCGAAAGUGACGGUACCUAAAGAAGAAGCACCGGCUAACUACGUGCCAGCAGCCGCCGUAA